GACGAACGCUGGCGGCGUGCCUAAUACAUGCAAGUUGAGCGCUGAAGGUUGGUACUUGUACCAACUGGAUGAGCAGCGAACGGGUGAGUAACGCGUGGGGAAUCUGCCUUUGAGCGGGGGACAACAUUUGGAAACGAAUGCUAAUACCGCAUAAAAACUUUAAACACAAGUUUUAAGUUUGAAAGAUGCAAUUGCAUCACCCAAAGAUGAUCCCGCGUUGUAUUAGCUAGUUGGUGAGGUAAAGGCUCACCAAGGCGAUGAUACAUAGCCGACCUGAGAGGGUGGUGGGCCACAUUGGGACUGAGACACGGCCCAAACCCCUACGGGAGGCAGCAGUGGGGAAUCUUCGGCAAUGGACGAAAGUCUGCCCGAGCAACCCCGCGGGAGUGAAGAAGGUUUUCGGAUCGUAAAACUCUGUUGGUAGAGAAGAACGUGGGUGGGAGGGGAAAGCUCAUCAAGUGACGGUAACUACCCAGAAAAGGACGGCGAACUCCGU
RNAcentral lists this ribosomal RNA (496 nucleotides) under uncultured bacterium. RNAcentral describes it as "partial 16S ribosomal RNA". It matches the Rfam family "Bacterial small subunit ribosomal RNA", at positions 28 to 506 of the family's 1533-position model. The record is from RNAcentral.